Non-coding RNA from Punica granatum (pomegranate), 831 nucleotides. NCBI's taxonomy places the organism in Eukaryota, Viridiplantae, Streptophyta, Magnoliopsida, Myrtales, Lythraceae. The record is from RefSeq and is a predicted model, not a curated record.
UACCGGGUAUACCAGGAAUCGAUCAGAACCUACCCGGUAGGGUAGGGUCCGGGUAGCUCGUAUUGAAAAUAGGGUAGGGUCCGGGUAUAAAAAUAAGGAACCGGUGAAAUCCGGUUCCGGUUCCGGUUCCAGCCUACGGGGUAUCCAAAACCGGAACCGGAACCGAAAUCCGGAACCGGAUGGUAAUUACAAAAAACAAAAAAGAAAAAAAAGAAGGUAAAGUUAUCCUCAUUCGCAGUCGGGUCUUUUCUCUCUCUCUCUCUCUGCUUGUCUCUUUCUCUGCGAUCGAGCUAGGGCUGCGUUGCCGGGCUUCUCUUCUCUUCCUCCGAUGGAAGGUCUCCUCCGCUUCAGCGGCUUUCUUGACGCCUCUCUGGUCCGAUACCUAAUGGACCCGCAGGAGAAUGAGGCGGCGUUCGACGGGGAAGCUCACGAAGUUGAGCCCUCAGACCACUCCCUCCACCAUUCCGCUGAAGACGACAGAUCUCACCUUCAGUCCGGCGACGGAGCUAGUCCCGAAAAGAUUUUUUUUUCCCCGUUGAGUUUAGCUAGAAUGAAGGAUUCGAAAGGCGAGGGAGGAGCGGGGGAGAUUUGACGGGAACCGUGGAUUUGACCGGUGGGGAGAGUGAGGGGCUGAAUCCCUGCCGUAGGAUUGAGAUGGGAUGGAAUGAGAUGGGGGGGAAGUCUUCGUGUUUACUGUGAGUUUGUCCGUAUUUGGAGAUGUGGGGCUGAAUCUCUCUUGGUUUGAUUGAAAGAGUUUGCACUGUAAUUGCUAAUUAAGAUUAUUGAUAUGAUUAAUCUAAAUUUAUGUCGAUAUUAUAUUUGCCGUGAUUA